GCAACUUUGUUUAUUGUUUAUUGUUCCUUUUUCUCUUUUUCUCUUCUUCUUUGUUAUUUUUAUUUUUCCAAAAUUAAAAAAGUUUUAAUAUUUGUGUGCCUUUUUGCAGUCUGUUGAAGGAAUGAAAGUCGUGUGUCAUGAGCUGACACAAGCCACCAAUGAUCCAGAAGGCAGUGCAAUGGAUGAACUUAUUAAAGAUGCAGACAAACUUGUUUCAUGCCUUGCAAACAAGGUUGCCAAGACCUUUGAUUUCAGCUUGACAGGAGCAUCAUCUAGAUCUUGUAAAUAUGCUCUCAACACCCUCAUGCAGACAUUUCAAAACAAGAGACUGA
Molecule: long non-coding RNA, 332 nt
Organism: Humulus lupulus (European hop)
Lineage: Eukaryota; Viridiplantae; Streptophyta; Magnoliopsida; Rosales; Cannabaceae
Exons: 3
Source: RefSeq, a predicted model, not a curated record